This 375-nucleotide ribosomal RNA is filed under the name uncultured organism. Its description in RNAcentral is "partial 16S ribosomal RNA". It matches the Rfam family "Bacterial small subunit ribosomal RNA", at positions 527 to 897 of the family's 1533-position model. The record is from RNAcentral.
GUAGGGGGCCAGCGUUGUCCGGAUUCAUUGGGGCGUAAAGAGCGUGUAGGCGGUUCAAUAGGUCCGAUGUGAAAACUCGAGGCUCAACCUCGAGAGGGUCGUCGGAAACCAUUGAGCUAGAGUCCGGAAGAGGAGAGUGGAAUUCCUGGUGUAGCGGUGAAAUGCGCAGAUAUCAGGAAGAACACCGAUGGCGAAGGCAGCUCUCUGGGACGGUACUGACGCUGAGACGCGAAAGCGUGGGGAGCGAACAGGAUUAGAUACCCUGGUAGUCCACGCCGUAAACGAUGGGCACUAGGUGUGGGUGGUGUCGACUCCAUCCGUGCCGCAGCUAACGCAUUAAGUGCCCCGCCUGGGGAGUACGGCCGCAAAGGCUAA